Molecule: ribosomal RNA, 253 nt
Filed under: uncultured bacterium
Lineage: Bacteria
Description: partial 16S ribosomal RNA
Rfam family: Bacterial small subunit ribosomal RNA
Source: RNAcentral
GACGUAGGAUGCAAGCGUUGUCCGGAUUUAUUGGGCGUAAAGAGUUCGUAGGCGGUUCGUUAAGUCUGAUGUUAAAGACUGGGGCUCAACCCCGGGAGUGCAUUGGAUACUGGCGGACUGGAGUGUGGUAGAGGCUAGUGGAAUUCCCAGUGUAGCGGUGAAAUGCGUAGAUAUUGGGAAGAACACCAGUGGCGAAGGCGACUUACUGGACUGUAACUGACGCUGAGGCAUGAAAGCGUGGGGAGCAAACAGG